RNAcentral lists this ribosomal RNA (441 nucleotides) under uncultured bacterium. RNAcentral's name for it is "partial 16S ribosomal RNA". It matches the Rfam family "Bacterial small subunit ribosomal RNA", at positions 339 to 795 of the family's 1533-position model. The record is from RNAcentral.
CUACGGGCUGCAGCAGUCGAGAAUCAUCCGCAAUGGGCGAAAGCCUGACGGUGCAAUGCCGCGUGGGGGAUGAAGGCCCUCGGGUCGUAAACCCCUGUCAGGAGGGACGAAGAAGUGACGGUACCUCCAGAGGAAGCCACGGCUAACUACGUGCCAGCAGCCGCGGUAAUACGUGGGUGGCGAGCGUUAUUCGGAUUUACUGGGCGUAAAGGGUCCGCAGGGGGUUUGCCAAGUCUGGUGUGAAAUCUCACAGCUCAACUGUGAAACUGCGCUGGAUACUGGUGAACUAGAGUGCGCGAGGGGUGAGUGGAAUUCCUGGUGUAGCGGUGGAAUGCGUAGAUAUCAGGAAGAACACCAACGGCGAAGGCAGCUCACUGGUGCGCAACUGACCCUCAUGGACGAAAGCGUGGGUAGCAAACAGGAUUAGAUACCCUUGUAGUC